RNAcentral lists this ribosomal RNA (103 nucleotides) under Escherichia coli ECC-Z. Lineage: Bacteria; Pseudomonadati; Pseudomonadota; Gammaproteobacteria; Enterobacterales; Enterobacteriaceae. The record is from RNAcentral.
GGCAGUAGCGCGGUGGUCCCACCUGACCCCAUGCCGAACUCAGAAGUGAAACGCCGUAGCGCCGAUGGUAGUGUGGGGUCUCCCCAUGCGAGAGUAGGGAACU